AGCAGCCGCGGUAACUCCAGCUCCAAUAGCGUAUAUUAAAGUUGUUGCAGUUAAAAAGCUCGUAGUUGAAUUUCGGGGUUAGUAGGUUGGUCAUGCCACUGGUAUGUACUGGUCUCACUGAUUCCUCCUUCCUGAUGAGACGUAAUGCCAUUAAUUUGGUGUUGCGAGGAAUCUGGACUGUUACUUUGAAAAAUUAGAGUGUUUAAAGCAGGCUAACGCUUGAAUACAUUAGCAUGGAAUAAUGAAAUAGGAUGUUCGAUCUUAUUUUGUUGGUUUCUAGGAUUGACGUAAUGAUUAAUAGGGAUAGUUGGGGGCAUUAGUAUUCAAUUGUCAGGGGUGAAAUUCUUGGAUUUAUUGAAGACUAACUACUGCGAAAGCAUUUGCCAAGGAUAUUUUCAUUAAUCAAGAACGAAAGUUAGGGGAUCGAAGACGAUCAGAUACCGUCGUAGUCUUAACCAUAAACUAUGCCGACUAGGGAUCGGAUGAUGUUAAUUUUUAAUGACCCAUUCGGCG
This 513-nucleotide ribosomal RNA is filed under the name uncultured Glomus. RNAcentral's name for it is "SSU rRNA". It matches the Rfam family "Eukaryotic small subunit ribosomal RNA", at positions 569 to 1085 of the family's 1831-position model. The record is from RNAcentral. Lineage: Eukaryota; Fungi; Glomeromycota; Glomeromycetes; Glomerales; Glomeraceae.